CUUUCACUCGCACGCGCGACCCUCAGUUUGGCUCCGACCGCUGUGUGGGGAGGCCGCGUCGCGCGUUCUCGUAAAUCUCGUACAAACUUUCGUGAAAAACGUUCUAAAUACUUUUUACUGUGUUUUUUUGCAAGUGUACCAUUGUUUUUUAGUGUGAAUACUGUUACUGUGAGUGUUAAUAAAAAGCCAGUGGUAUCGGAUUUGUUGUUGUGCAUUUGGAAUGCUGCAAAGAUCUCAGGUAGUGUUCAGCCAGAAGUGAGCGGAUUUUUUACGAUCUAUGUGAAGUGAAAACGAGUGAAGUGGUCAAUUCUGUGGUGGAAAAUGUGCUAGUGAAAGAUGUCGCCACGGUGGCGCUGCGGGCGGGUCACGUGACAUUUAAAAUACAAAAUGGCGGACACUAGUCCCGCCACCUCGAUAAUAGAGGGCACUGUCAAGUUCAGAGAUGGGAAAAAGUGGAAAUCAAGAUGGUGUGUUAUGCGCAAGCUGUCUCCUGUAGCAGGUAAG
Long non-coding RNA from Ostrinia furnacalis (Asian corn borer), 504 nucleotides. RefSeq lists it as uncharacterized. The transcript is spliced from 3 exons. NCBI's taxonomy places the organism in Eukaryota, Metazoa, Arthropoda, Insecta, Lepidoptera, Crambidae. The record is from RefSeq and is a predicted model, not a curated record.